CGAGUGAAGCGGCAACAGCUCAAAUUUGAAAUCUGGCUCUAUUUUGGAGUCCGAGUUGUAAUUUGUAGAGGGCGCUUUGGCGUCGGCAGCGGUCUAAGUUCCUUGGAACAGGACGUCACAGAGGGUGAGAAUCCCGUAUGUGGUCGCGUGCCUUCGCCGUGUAAAGCCCCUUCGACGAGUCGAGUUGUUUGGGAAUGCAGCUCUAAAUGGGAGGUAAAUUUCUUCUAAAGCUAAAUACUGGCCAGAGACCGAUAGCGCACAAGUAGAGUGAUCGAAAGAUGAAAAGCACUUUGGAAAGAGAGUCAAAAAGCACGUGAAAUUGUUGAAAGGGAAGCGCUUGCAGCCAGACUUGCCUGCGGUUGCUCAUCCGGGCUCUCGCCCGGUGCACUCUUCCGUAGGCAGGCCAGCAUCAGUUUGGGCGGCUGGAUAAAGGCCUCUGUCAUGUACCUUCCCUCGGGAAGGCCUUAUAGGGGAGGCGUAAUGCAGCCAGCC
Molecule: small RNA, 492 nt
Filed under: Medicopsis romeroi
Lineage: Eukaryota; Fungi; Ascomycota; Dothideomycetes; Pleosporales; Neohendersoniaceae
Description: eukaryotic LSU rRNA
Rfam family: Eukaryotic large subunit ribosomal RNA
Source: RNAcentral